Cercocebus atys (sooty mangabey) is the source of this 97-nucleotide microRNA precursor. The record is from Ensembl. NCBI's taxonomy places the organism in Eukaryota, Metazoa, Chordata, Mammalia, Primates, Cercopithecidae.
UGAGACAAGAGAAUUGCUUGAACCCAGGAAGUGGAGGUUGCAGUGAGCCGAGAUCAAGCCACUGCACUCCAGCCUGGGUGACAGAGCAAGACUCCAG